This 274-nucleotide ribosomal RNA is filed under the name uncultured bacterium. Its description in RNAcentral is "partial 16S ribosomal RNA". It matches the Rfam family "Archaeal small subunit ribosomal RNA", at positions 473 to 747 of the family's 1478-position model. The record is from RNAcentral.
AAACCAGCACCUCAAGUGGUCAGGAUGAUUAUUGGGCCUAAAGCAUCCGUAGCCGGCUCUGUAAGUUUUCGGUUAAAUCUGUACGCUCAACGUACAGGCUGCCGGAAAUACUGCAGAGCUAGGGAGUGGGAGAGGUAGACGGUACUCGGGAGGAAGGGGUAAAAUCCUUUGAUCUUUCGAUGACCACCUGUGGCGAAGGCGGUCUACCAGAACACGUUCGACGGUGAGGGAUGAAAGCUGGGGGAGCAAACCGGAUUAGAAACCCCGGUAGUCC